GAGAAAUGCAGUGGACAAACUGGCUUUC
Molecule: non-coding RNA, 28 nt
Filed under: Rattus norvegicus (Norway rat)
Lineage: Eukaryota; Metazoa; Chordata; Mammalia; Rodentia; Muridae
Source: RNAcentral